RNAcentral lists this transfer RNA (75 nucleotides) under Picrophilus oshimae DSM 9789. RNAcentral describes it as "tRNA-Ala". The stretch from base 11 to 75 matches the Rfam family "tRNA". Rfam says of the family: Transfer RNA (tRNA) molecules are approximately 80 nucleotides in length. Their secondary structure includes four short double-helical elements and three loops (D, anti-codon, and T loops). Lineage: Archaea; Methanobacteriati; Thermoplasmatota; Thermoplasmata; Thermoplasmatales; Picrophilaceae. The record is from RNAcentral.
ACGUGUAUUAGGGCCGAUAGAUCAGAGGUAGAUCGCUUCCUUGGCAUGGAAGAGGGCGGGGGUUCAAAUCCCCCU